CAGCUCGUGUCGUGAGAUGUUGGGUUAAGUCCCGCAACGAGCGCAACCCUUGCCAUUAGUUGCUACAUUCAGUUGGGCACUCUAAUGGGACUGCCGGUGACAAACCGGAGGAAGGUGGGGAUGACGUCAAGUCCUCAUGGCCCUUAUGGGUAGGGCUUCACACGUCAUACAAUGGUCGGGACAGAGGGUUGCCAAGCCGCGAGGCGGAGCCAAUCUCAGAAACCCGAUCGUAGUCCGGAUCGCAGUCUGCAACUCGACUGCGUGAAGUCGGAAUCGCUAGUAAUCGCGGAUCAGCAUGUCGCGGUGAAUACGUUCCCGGGUCUUGUACACACCGCCCGUCACACCAUGGGAGUGGGUUUCACCAGAAGUAGGUAGCCUAACCGC
This 384-nucleotide ribosomal RNA is filed under the name uncultured Denitrobacter sp. RNAcentral's name for it is "bacterial SSU rRNA". It matches the Rfam family "Bacterial small subunit ribosomal RNA", at positions 1056 to 1442 of the family's 1533-position model. The record is from RNAcentral. Lineage: Bacteria; Pseudomonadati; Pseudomonadota; Betaproteobacteria.